Molecule: long non-coding RNA, 965 nt
Organism: Bactrocera dorsalis (oriental fruit fly)
Lineage: Eukaryota; Metazoa; Arthropoda; Insecta; Diptera; Tephritidae
Exons: 2
Source: RefSeq, a predicted model, not a curated record
UGGACACGCUUGGCGCACUAAGCAAGCGCUAAAGUGUUGCAUUAAAAACAACUGUGUACGAUAAAUAAAUUAGAAUUUCAGAGUUGCAAUUAUGAGCAAUUGAGUCAUGGAUGCGCGUUACCUCAGAAAUCCGCUUUAUGAGAGUUAUACUGUGGCGUGCUUUGUGGAAGAAACGCAGUGGUAUUAAUCAUUCCUAAUUUUUGAGAAACAACAAGUUAAUAGAAAGAAAACAACUUUUGAUCGAAGAACUCAAUAACCGACAUUGAAAGUAUUAAAACUGAUAUUUCUUGCAAGAAUGCUUCCACAUAUAAAAUAUUUCACACAUGACAUGCGAAUUGCAAAUGUUUAUAUGUAAAUUUCCUGUGGCGUCAAAAUAGCAAAGAGUGCGGACAAACCCACAACUGAUUUGCAAGCAAAAAGUAAAGAAAACAGCGUGAACGGUUAUAAAAAAACUCCUUAUAAAAAUUUCAUCGGUCAGUUUGUAUGACAGCUAUAUGCUAUAGUGACCCGAUCUGAACAAUUUCUUCAGUGAUUGCAUCAGUGACUCAGCCAAUAAUUCAUGCCAAAUUUCGUGGAGAUAUCUCUUGAAAUGGGAAAGUUUUCCAUACAAGGACUUGAUUCCGAUCGUACAGUUUGUAUAGCAACUAUAGGCUAUAGCGGUCCCAUAUUAGCAGUUCCGAGAAACGUGCUAGCGAACUCAAGAAAUGUAUGCGUGGCAAGCGUUUUUAAUCAAAUGAAUAGGUCAUAAUGGCUGUUGAAGCGUAUUUUGCAGACUUUCCGGAUUCUCACUUCAGGGAUGGGAUCCACAGAUUGGAGGAUUGUUGGAGCAAGUGUAUUAAUGUUCAGGAAGAUUAUACUGAAGAAUAUGUUAAAGUGUAUUUUGAAUCAUAAAAUUGUGUUUUUCUUAUUAGACGACAAAACUUAUUGAACAACCUGGUAUAUACUUUAUGGUAUAGGGUUUCCGA